Phascolarctos cinereus (koala) is the source of this 2585-nucleotide long non-coding RNA. The record is from Ensembl. Lineage: Eukaryota; Metazoa; Chordata; Mammalia; Diprotodontia; Phascolarctidae.
AACGAAGGCCCAGGUAGGUGAAGAAAUUUGGCUGAAGUCACACAGGUAAUAAGCAGAAGCUAAUUCAGUUACAAGUCUAACACAGAGAUUAACAACUGUGCUGAAAAGCGAAGUGAUGACGUCUUACUCCUUGGGGUAAAAAUACAUCAUUGGAGAGAACUAAUCAGGAAGCUUGAGAAGCAAGGGCAGAACCGGGAAAAAUGUGGCAGAAAUUGUAACAACUCCCGCACCCCUUGAGCGAGAUAGGAUUUGCAAAGCCCUGAGGGGUGCAAAGAAAAGCUUGCAAAAGCUUGCAGGUUCGGAAGUGGGGACGUUGUAUAGAUUGGUUCUGCUAUCAGGUCCAACUUAGAAGAUAGUGAACAGGCUGACCCCUCCAGCUGCGCCCAAUGCUUCCCAGUGCAAGCCUAACUUGGCCCGAGGAAGAAGGGGGUGGGGAGGAGGGCACAUGUAUUUCCAUGUGAAUCUCCCGGGCAAGGGGCGGAGAGAACAGAGGUGGCCCUCUGCGCAUGCGCCAGCUGCGGGGUUGGGGGGGAAAGUAGGUCAGACUCCUACUCUCACGUGACCCCUCUCCCCUCAGCUACCCCCGUCUCCUCCCUCUGGAAGGCCCCCGCAGCCUGGAUGCGCUCUGCAGCCAACGUGACCAGGGAAGGGAGGAGGCGGGGCCAGCUCGGGGAGCGCGCCUCUGCUGCUGGAGUGGAUUCUCUGGUUCUUGGCCCACUGGAGCAGGGCGGGAAGAGGCUCGGGCGGGCGAAAGGGAGCGCGAGGGAGCCUAGCUCCGCAGACACCAGCAUGGUUCAACCAUUGAAGCACAUUCUGGAAUUACAGGACAACACUCACAAAAGGCUUAAUUCUCUACAUCCUUGGGGAUGGUUUAUCUAACAAAACUGAAUUUGUUUGCUGAACUAGAAGUUAAGCAGCAUCUGUCUUCCAGUCUUUUCAGACCUGGCCUUCCAUUGUCAUUCAUGGGAUUGAUUUUUCCUCUUACAAUGAACUGGAGAUAGCAAGGGCAGCCAGGAAAAUGAGACAAGGUAACAGACAAGCAGGGAAACCAAUCUUUAAUGAGCUUUUCUCUUCCCUUCCCCCUUUAAAAAUUGCAUUUUCCUUAAACAGCAACAGUCAACGGUUUACAAAUAUACUUAGCCCUAAAUCCACUGGAAUGCUGAGACCAGGAGGGACCUGCUUGAAAUCAGUGAAUUUAAAAGAUAAUAUAUUUGUAGUGUUUGCCACUAGAUGUUAAGAGAAGUUAAUGCGCACCAACUUUUCCUCCCUUUUCCCAUUUUACAUUAACAGGAACAUGGUGAAAGACACAUACAGAUGCAUAUAUAUGCAUACACCAGGUGAGACCACAGUAGGAAUUAGACUGUAUUUGGGCAAGGCUAGUCACCUAUUUGCAAACAGACACACUGUUUCACCAACACUUAAUUCCUGGUUAACGGGUCAGAAAACAUGUAUUUUCUAAGAAAAUUGUGAAAACUCCUGACAAAUGAAAAUAAUCCCUCAAUGUGACAUUAGAUUUCACAUUUGUUAUAAAUUGAUACUUUUAUUGUGAGAUUCAAGUGACAUAAUAUAUGGGUUACAUCUUAUUUGCGCUCUUAAUAUUACAGUAAGUUAUUGUUAUCUCUCCAAAGCAGCAAGGUACCCCGAGGGAAUGCCAAACCACCCCCAGGACCACUCUCUAUCCUCAGACUCUGAUGGAGACAGCCCAGGAUCCUGAGACCAAGAGCCUUGGGAAUAGCAGUGCCCCCCAAUCCCCAGACCUGCUUCCAGCCUAGUCCCUGUAGCUGUCAGUGAAUGGAGAAAUCCUUGUGGAGAUGAGGCUCACCGUCCUCAUCACCAUCAGCAAUAACUUCUGACUAAAUGCUAUCAAUAGGCAGAUGGUACACAAGCCCGGGGGUGGCUGCACCCAUCUGACCACCAUUCCACCUCGAGCACAGCCCUCACAGCUGUGAUCUGUAGAUCCUAGGAGAUCUAGGAAGCAACUCCUGUGGAGAGGGGGCCAGCCAUCUCUACCAACCACCACACACAGGGCAGACAAGCCAGCCCACCUGAAGCAGGAGGGUACCCCGAGGGAGAGACAGGAGACCGUAUAUGCCAGACAAGUCAGACGACCAGCACGUUCUUGACCAUCAGCUCCUUUCAUACCCUGAUGGAGACAAACUAGGACCCUGAGCCCAAGAGCCUUGGGAAGAGUGUUGCUUCCAGCCCAGCGCCCUCAGCCAUCAUUCAUGGAAGUAACCCCUGCGGUGAUGCAGCCUGACUGCUCCUGGAGAGGCCACAUCCACAGCUACCCAAGACUCAAAAAGAAAUUUCUGGCCACCCAAGUCCUUGGCAUUGUCAAAUGGUUCAACAUCAGAAACUUAGUGUGAUUUUAUCAGUAGAAAUAAUAUUAAAGAAGAAGCAUUAUAGAACUUUUUCAUCUGACUUGCAGCUGAAAACCUUAUAUAUAUAUGUCUCCCCAUUAAAAUAUGAACAACCUGGAGAUCAGGGACUGUCUUACUUUUCUAUUUGUGUCUCUAGAACUCAGCACUUUGUUUUGUACAUAGUAAGCACUUAAUAAAUGCUUCAUUCAUUUUGUGAGCUAAACA